CCGGAGAAUGUUAUCACGGGAGACACACGGCGGGUGCUAACGUCCGUCGUGAAGAGGGAAACAACCCAGACCGCCAGCUAAGGUCCCAAAGUCAUGGUUAAGUGGGAAACGAUGUGGGAAGGCCCAGACAGCCAGGAUGUUGGCUUAGAAGCAGCCAUCAUUUAAAGAAAGCGUAAUAGCUCACUGGUCGAGUCGGCCUGCGCGGAAGAUGUAACGGGGCUAAACCAUGCACCGAAGCUGCGGCAGCGACGCUGAUGCGUUGUUGGGUAGGGGAGCGUUCUGUAAGCCUGUGAAGGUGKSYYGUGAGGSWUGCUGGAGGUAUCAGAAGUGCGAAUGCUGACAUAAGUAACGAUAAAGCGGGUGAAAAGCCCGCUCGCCGGAAGACCAAGGGUUCCUGUCCAACGUUAAUCGGGGCAGGGUGAGUCGACCCCUAAGGCGAGGCCGAAAGGCGUAGUCGAUGGGAAACGGGUUAAUAUUCCCGUACUUGGUGUUACUGCGAAGGGGGGACGGAGAAGGCUAUGUUGGCCGGGCGACGGUUGUCCCG
RNAcentral lists this ribosomal RNA (544 nucleotides) under Salmonella enterica. RNAcentral's name for it is "partial 23S ribosomal RNA". Lineage: Bacteria; Pseudomonadati; Pseudomonadota; Gammaproteobacteria; Enterobacterales; Enterobacteriaceae. The record is from RNAcentral.